AGUUCGGAUCCCCUGAUAGCAGAGUUCUGCUGUGCUGAUCCGGCAAACCUCCCGACCUUCUCCGCAACUGGUAACACGUCAUAUCUUCUCUUCACUUCGGACGGGACAAAUGAGUUCAAAGGCUUCGAAAUCCGGGCCCGUUCAAACGGGGCAACAACUACGACUUAGACAACAACAAGUACCACCAGCACUACGUCCGCGACCAGCUCUAAGUCAACAACGUAAUCAACGAAUAGCACUACUUCGGUCGCGUCAACAUCAACAACAAGCCGGGCUACAACCCAAGCAGCAACGACAGCAGACUUCAUUACCAUUAACCUUCAUCCAGAGCAACCAUUGACUUUCUUAUGAACUAAUGACUUCCUUAGAAACAAUUUAUCUAUUAUUUGUUAUUUACAUCAAACAAAUAAAGAUGAAAUAUGU
Mya arenaria is the source of this 423-nucleotide long non-coding RNA. RefSeq lists it as uncharacterized. The transcript has 2 exons. NCBI's taxonomy places the organism in Eukaryota, Metazoa, Mollusca, Bivalvia, Myida, Myidae. The record is from RefSeq and is a predicted model, not a curated record.